GCGUCCGUGGUGCAAUGAUUAGCAUGCGCUCCCGCAAAGAGUGAGAUCUGGGUUCGAAUCCCGGUUGACGCA
This is a non-coding RNA of Parelaphostrongylus tenuis, 72 nucleotides long. The record is from the annotation of a GenBank genome assembly. NCBI's taxonomy places the organism in Eukaryota, Metazoa, Nematoda, Chromadorea, Rhabditida, Metastrongylidae.